UGGGGUGUAGCUCAGUGUAGAGCACUUGCCUAGCAUGGAGGAAGCCCUGGGUUCCAGCCCUAGUACCACAA
Molecule: transfer RNA, 71 nt
Filed under: Fukomys damarensis (Damara mole-rat)
Lineage: Eukaryota; Metazoa; Chordata; Mammalia; Rodentia; Bathyergidae
Rfam family: tRNA
About the family: Transfer RNA (tRNA) molecules are approximately 80 nucleotides in length. Their secondary structure includes four short double-helical elements and three loops (D, anti-codon, and T loops). Further hydrogen bonds mediate the characteristic L-shaped molecular structure. tRNAs have two regions of fundamental functional importance: the anti-codon, which is responsible for specific mRNA codon recognition, and the 3' end, to which the tRNAs corresponding amino acid is attached (by aminoacyl-tRNA synthetases). tRNAs cope with the degeneracy of the genetic code in two manners: having more than one tRNA (with a specific anti-codon) for a particular amino acid; and 'wobble' base-pairing, i.e. permitting non-standard base-pairing at the 3rd anti-codon position.
Source: Rfam by way of RNAcentral